UCCAAAAUGACAGAGCGGUAAUGUACACGGCUGUUAACCGUAGAUCUAUGAAAGUAGCAGAGGUUCGAUCCCUCUUUUUGGAGCCA
This 86-nucleotide transfer RNA is filed under the name Candidatus Woesebacteria bacterium. Its description in RNAcentral is "tRNA-Asn". It matches the Rfam family "tRNA". From Rfam's summary of the family: Transfer RNA (tRNA) molecules are approximately 80 nucleotides in length. Their secondary structure includes four short double-helical elements and three loops (D, anti-codon, and T loops). Lineage: Bacteria; Candidatus Woeseibacteriota. The record is from RNAcentral.